AAAAAAUAUCCUCACAUUUAGACAACAUCUUCAUCAGCCGAGGGUGAUAUGGACGCCCUGACUUUUAAUUCAAAGCGCUGGAAAGCUUCCGAAUUUUCUGAACUAAAUGAUCAGGUCUGUCGAUUGAAAGGAUACAUCAAGACAAUGAAGGCUGAGCUAAAUGACGCAGAAGAAGAGAUCAGAAAGAAUCAACGUACUAUUUUCAAUUUGGAGGAAGAGGUGAAAAAUUUUUAUGAUGCCCUCAAAAGUAGAAGGACUCAUUUUGAUG
Molecule: non-coding RNA, 268 nt
Organism: Rhopilema esculentum
Lineage: Eukaryota; Metazoa; Cnidaria; Scyphozoa; Rhizostomeae; Rhizostomatidae
Source: RefSeq, a predicted model, not a curated record